This 450-nucleotide ribosomal RNA is filed under the name uncultured bacterium. RNAcentral's name for it is "bacterial SSU rRNA". It matches the Rfam family "Bacterial small subunit ribosomal RNA", at positions 354 to 796 of the family's 1533-position model. The record is from RNAcentral.
GUGGGGAAUUUUGGACAAUGGGCGAAAGCCUGAUCCAGCAAUGCCGCGUGCAGGAUGAAGGCCCUCGGGUUGUAAACUGCUUUUGUACGAAACGAAAAGCCUGGGGCUAAUAUCCCCGGGUCAUGACGGUACCGUAAGAAUAAACACCGGCUAACUACGUGCCAGCAGCCGCGGUAAUACGUAGGGUGCAAGCGUUAAUCGGAAUUACUGGGCGUAAAGCGUGCGCAGGCGGUUUUGUAAGACAGUGGUGAAAUCCCCGGGCUCAACCUGGGAACUGCCAUUGUGACUGCAAGGCUAGAGUGCGGCAGAGGGGGAUGGAAUUCCGCGUGUAGCAGUGAAAUGCGUAGAUAUGCGGAGGAACACCGAUGGCGAAGGCAAUCCCCUGGGCCUGCACUGACGCUCAUGCACGAAAGCGUGGGGAGCAAACAGGAUUAGAUACCCGUGUAGUCC